Molecule: long non-coding RNA, 1541 nt
Filed under: Oryza sativa (Asian cultivated rice)
Lineage: Eukaryota; Viridiplantae; Streptophyta; Magnoliopsida; Poales; Poaceae
Description: long non-coding RNA (OSAT_LNC001393)
Source: RNAcentral
AAGCAUCUGCCGACAGUUCAGCGUUGUGCUGUUCUUCCACCUACCGUCGGAUUUUGACUAUGCAGCUGCUCUCCCACCGGUUUCGAUUUCUUUAGUCGGGGGGAAAUUCGGCUCAAUUUUGUGUGGAUUUGGUUUGAUUCGUUGUUAUCUCUUUUGGAUGUUGUUUGCAGGCGAGUGGUGGUGGUGUUUGUUGCCAUGGAGUCGCAGCAGGAGAAGGCGGUUUCUGCGCCGGCGGCGAACGGGAGCGGCGGCGCCGGCGGCGGCGAGCUGAUCGGGUACGUCGACGUGCACGUGCAGAGCGCGCGGGACAUCCAGAACAUCUGCAUCUACCACAAGCAGGACGUGUACGCGCGGCUGUCGCUGCCGGGGGAGGGGGCGCCGGCGGCGUCGACGCAGGUCAUCAACGGCGGGGGGCGCAACCCGGUGUUCGACCAGUCGCUGCGCCUGGGCGUGCGCGCCGGGGACGUCGACGGCGCGCUCCGGUGCGAGGUGUGGAUGCUGAGCCGGGUCAAGAACUACCUGCAGGACCAGCUGCUGGGGUUCGCGCUCGUGCCGCUCCCGGACGUCGUCGCCGCCGAGGGCGGCACGCUCGCCCGCGAGUUCCCGCUCUCCACCAACGACAUCUUCCACUCCCACGCCGGGUUCCUGCAGCUCGAGCUGUCCUACAUCGGGGUCGUGCCUGAGGUCGUGCCCAUCUCGCCGACGCCCAAGCCGGCCCUGGCCGACGCGGAGGAGCACCGCGCCGGCGGCGCGGCGAACGGUAAGGAGUACGAGAAGAUCGAGUUCCCCGAUCUGAAUCUCGUGGAGGAGAACCAGAUCAUGCUGUCGGAGUACAUCGGGCUGCCGUGCUCCGCCGUGGAGCCGCAGAGCUCCGAGAGCCUCCUGACCUCGGAGGAGGACGGCGACGGCGCCACCGCCGAGACCCACGUCGCCGGCGUGCGCGUCGUGCAGAGCUUCUCGACGGACAACAGCACCGCCGACUCGGCCGGCACCUUCCGGAGCGACACCCCGGUCAGCAGCGUGUCCACCACGGAGUCCCCCGCCGCCGCCGCGGUCCCGGCCACCCCGCAGUCCAACUCCUCCGGCAAUGCCGUCUCGUCGGCGGAGCAGAAGGAGAAGGCCGCCUCCGACGCCGCCGACGCGGAGGUGGAGUCCUCCCGCACCGUGCAGAGCAGCGCCAGCCCGGCGGCGAACUCCCCCGGCGCCAUGUCCGAGAGCGCGGUGGAUAAGCCGCCGGUCAUCCGCGUCAACCUCGAGCAGGAGGUCAAGGUCGACCAGAAGGAGAUCAUGGACAUGUACAUGAAGAGCAUGCAGCAGUUCACGGAGUCCCUCGCCAAGAUGAAGCUCCCGCUGGACCUGGACAACGGCAGCGACAAGAGCGCGGCCGUCUCCGGCGCCGGCGCCGCCGCUUCCGACGCGGACUCCAGCGGCGCCGACUCGGGCGCGGCGGCCGCGGCGGCGGCGAAGAAGCCGAUGGCCGGUGGGCCGGAGAAAUCUCCCAAAGUAUUCUACGGAAGCCGUGCUUUCUUCUGAAGCAAAGA